This 416-nucleotide long non-coding RNA is filed under the name Elaeis guineensis (African oil palm). Its description in RNAcentral is "long non-coding RNA (EGUI_LNC031310)". The record is from RNAcentral. Lineage: Eukaryota; Viridiplantae; Streptophyta; Magnoliopsida; Arecales; Arecaceae.
ACAAUCAUGGAUCAGGGUUCUUCAUUAGAAUCAGAUCAGGACUAUUAAAAAAAAAUUUUCAUUCACUAACCUUUUUAGAGAGAGAAUCAAUCAAGAGAGAGAAUAUUUUAGAGAGAGAAAAUUUUAGAGAGAGAAAAUUCAUCUUAGACUCCUCAGACAAUAUGAUUCAACAAAUUCGAUCGAUCAGAUCAAAUCAUGCUAAGAUUAUCAUGUAGAUAAUUUAAUAAAAUCAUGAGAAAUAAAAUCUAAAAAUACCUGAUCUGAUCAAAGUGGAUGUCGGUGUACCGUCCGACGAUCACAGAUCAAAAAUCCAUCACGAGGAUCAUUUAAAUUCAUCAUCAUUCUUCUCAAAAUUCUAAAAAUCUUAGGAGAGAAAUAAUCUAGAGGGAGAAAGUAGAGAGAGAAAGUCCAAUUCU